UUUGACUAUUACGGCGGGUAUAUAAAAUAAAUUGUAAAUUUAUACACAAAAAUUGUAUUUUUUUUUGUGUGGAGCCUAGCCCACCUUGGGGGGGUGCUUCCUCCCCCCUUACCUACCGCCAACAACUCUCCGCCGGGCGGCGGAGUACAAAUACUCGCCGCUGGCCUCGGCGUUGGGCGCAGAGGUCGUUGUGCUCCCAAGCGCCGCCAAC
Molecule: long non-coding RNA, 211 nt
Filed under: Spirodela polyrhiza (greater duckweed)
Lineage: Eukaryota; Viridiplantae; Streptophyta; Magnoliopsida; Alismatales; Araceae
Description: long non-coding RNA (SPOL_LNC002348)
Source: RNAcentral